This 77-nucleotide transfer RNA is filed under the name Pleurocapsa sp. SU_196_0. RNAcentral's name for it is "tRNA-Arg". It matches the Rfam family "tRNA". Rfam says of the family: Transfer RNA (tRNA) molecules are approximately 80 nucleotides in length. Their secondary structure includes four short double-helical elements and three loops (D, anti-codon, and T loops). The record is from RNAcentral. Lineage: Bacteria; Bacillati; Cyanobacteriota; Cyanophyceae; Pleurocapsales; Pleurocapsaceae.
GAAUCGGUAACUCAGUGGAGCAGAGUGCCACGCUUCGAACGUGGAAGUCGCGGGUUCGAAUCCUGCCCGAUUCACCA